GCUGCUGCUGCUGCUGCUGCUGCCUGACCAAAACCAGCCAAUCAGAGCCUGGAGGACGUCACCAUGGUGAUGCCUAAUAUAUGGAGAAAAAACAUUUUUUAUAAGACCGGGCAAUUUAUUGAAAGGUUUUGUCAAUGAGGUCAAUUAGAACUAAGCAAAUUAAAAAAUUAGUUUAGACAGUUUAGUUUAGUUUAGUCUUUCAAAUCCCAUUUCUCAACACAAAAGACGGAACAUUAUUUGGGGAAAUAAUGUCCCUUUAAAUGUUGAAAGAAAUAAAAAUCAAUAACUUUUGGAAAAUGUAUUCUUAAUCUAUUUAUCAGUUAAUAAUUUAAUAAUUGGAAUACUAAGAAGUGUGGCUUAGAUGGACACAAAGAACGUAUUGUCCCUCUUUAGAACAGUUUUAUUUAACCUUUUUUAAAAUUAGAACAAAAAACGGUCAACACAGUAAUGCAACGAAGAAUGUAGAGUCCAUCCACACAACAGUCAGGAGUCACUGCUUAACAUCUGUGGAAGAGCCUCAAUGUCACUGAAUUCAUGACAAUUUCAACUUCACACUUUGGAGUUGUAGUUGGCAUUUCAAAAAACUUCAUCAAAUCAAACUUUUAACCAAAGUCAAAGGAAAUUACAGAUACAACAAACACCUUUGUCAUAAGUAUGACAUGGAAAGAUUUCUAGUUUGUGGGAGUUCUGGUUAGCAUGACUAAUGUAAGUUCUUAUAAGCCUGAAUUUUUUUCCCACGAGCUGCACAUCAGAAUGUCCUCACCUGCUUUUUUGACUAAUAUCUUUUCCGCAGGUUACACAUGACAAAGGUCUCUCACUAGUGUGAAUUCGUAAGUGUAUGUUCAAACUAUAUUUGCCCUUGUAACUUUUUCCACAUUUUAAACAUGAGAAAGGCUUCUCAUUUGUGUGAGCAUGUAUGUGGUUUUUCAGAUGAUCUUUUCUUCAGAAAGACUUUUCACAGGCAUUGCAAGAGAAAGGUCUUUCCUCUGAGUGUAUCCUCAAAUGGGAAUUCAAUUGGUUGCUUUCCUUAAAACAUUUUCCAGGAGCAUGUUUUUUUCUUGUAUGAAUUCUCAUGUUGACAUUCAAAUUCCUUUUAUGAGUGAAGUAUUUCCCACAUGUCACAUAGAUGAAAAAUGUCUUGGUUUUAGCAAUUAAACGAGUUCUCGUGUGGCAUUUCACAUGACUUGAUUGACUGAACAAUUUACCACAUGUUAUACAUGAGAAAGGCUUCUUACCUGUGUGAGUUACCAAGUGCCUUCCCAAGCUACAUUUGUGGCCCAAACUCUUCCCACAGGCAGCAUAAAAGGCAGCAUAAAUGGUACGCUGCCACUUUAAGGCCAAUUUCCUUGCAUAGUGACGUCGUCUCCAUCUACUUCCUUCUCGUUUGUUAAAUUGUGCUGGGUAAGCUUGAUUGUUUGUUAGUAGUAGCCAUUAAUACAAUCUGGUCUGAUCUGUUUAGCCUCCUGUGCUGCUCCUCCAACAUCUGGACCGUCUGUCCGUGGUGGAGGAAAAGGUUAAUAACAUCCACCCCAUGUCAACAAAGCCUCAUUUUGUUACAGCUGCUCUGUUUAUCUGGCAGUGCGGUAAUUUGCCAAGCCACAGGCUGAAAGCUGAAGGCUGUGGUCGAUCUUUGGACGCUUUCUUCCCGUCUGCAGUUGCGGCCCGGUGGGAAACGAACCGGCAGAUGGUUGGAUCUACUUCUCUUUCCUCCACACUGACUCAGCUGGACCAGACUGACCUUCUGAUGUUCAUCCAUCUAAUUUACUGCAGCAUUAAUCCACAGCACUUCAAUAACUGAUUAAAUACAGAAAAAAAGUCAUUUUAUCGUUUCACAACAGAUUUGACAUCAUCCAUCAUUUAAACACAAUCUGUUAAAAAACAGAUCAAGCAAAAACAUUUGAGAAUUUAUUACAGUUUUCAUCACAUUAAUAAAAUGAUGUGACUGCAGCAUUAAUCCACACAACAUUCAGUGUUGAUGCAUUUCGAUAAUUAAACACAGAAAAAUUUGUCCUUUUAUUUCACAUCAUGCAUGAUUUCAACUCUAUUGUAAGAAUUUGGUCCUUUAUCAACUACAAACCAUCAAACAUGUCAUUAAUGUUAAUAGAAUAAUUUUUCUGAACACUCUGCU
Molecule: long non-coding RNA, 2128 nt
Organism: Xiphophorus couchianus (Monterrey platyfish)
Lineage: Eukaryota; Metazoa; Chordata; Actinopteri; Cyprinodontiformes; Poeciliidae
Exons: 3
Source: RefSeq, a predicted model, not a curated record